RNAcentral lists this long non-coding RNA (12722 nucleotides) under Heterocephalus glaber (naked mole-rat). RNAcentral describes it as "lncRNA (ENSHGLG00100044638.1)". The record is from RNAcentral. Lineage: Eukaryota; Metazoa; Chordata; Mammalia; Rodentia; Bathyergidae.
GUCUGUUUUAAAAGCUUGAUUAUACUAGCACCAUUUUUUUAAAAAAUGGAACCUGUGAUGAGCCUGCUGAGGAUGGUUUCUUAUGCUAGCACAUAAGUCAGAUUUCAACGGAGUUUUAAAUGGUUAACUCCCUGGAUGCUGAACCUGUAUACUUAACUGUUCAGAACUUCCUUGGACUUGGAUUAAGAUUUAAUUCUAAUGAACAAGCUAAUAAAUGAAUAUGUUUAGUGUGGUUGGCAGUAUUGUGUAGAGUUUAGAGAUUUUGUUUCUGGUUAAGUGUACAACAUUUUACGUUGGAUCUGUUAAGAUUUUUUUCCCCUUGGGUAUGAUAAUAUAUACUAGCAAACAAUGUAAGUAUAAUUUAAAUGUAGCCAUCUUAAGAUACCAAUACUUGAACAAGUUGAUUACUGACUCAUCUGUAAUUAACCUGGGGAGAAAACAUCUUUGACCUGAGGCUUACCAGUGCUUUUUGGCUUUGACAGCCUGAAAACUUCUGAGAAAAAAAGGAACUUAAUGUGCUUUUGCAGGCUGUGCAUGUACAUGUCUUAUUUUUAGUCUGCAUAUAGAAGGCUAUCACUUAACAUUCUAUUUAACGCUGUUUAUAAAGUAUCAGACAUUCACUAAAAACUCUGGAGUCUUUGUUUUACAGGCAAGCCUGUCUUAAGCACAACAAACCAGACUUUGGGUUUUUCCUGUGCAUAAACUUGAAGAGUUCUUCAUACUGAUUCCUGACAAAUUUUGAACUGAAACUGCCUGGAGAAUAGUUUGGUGUACAUUAAAGUUUAUUGUAAAUCUAAUGAAAUACUGUUCUGUUAGUAACUGAGUAAUUGACUACUUUGUAGUUUGUCUAAUAUUGGAGGAUUUUGAGAACUCAGCUGAGCAGUAAAGGAUCUUAUACAUGUUACUAAGGUGUUUCAGACCCUGUGGUACACUGAAGUUGAAGCCUAGCAGGGAAGCUCAAGGUUUGUGGAAUAAUUUAAAUGCUUUUGCUACUCAUUUGGUUCUAGGGUUGAAUGUUUUCUGUAUUUAGAACAAAUUGAACGAGAUGGUAUGUUCUAAGCAAGCUUCUAAGUUCAGCAGUUUUUAAACGUUGAAAAAAAGUCACAGUAAAUCCUUUGAAAAUAAGGUACUAGAUACAGCUUCAUGAAGUAUGCUGGUGUCCAGUACUUUAAAAAACAAGUAAAUGCCAACACAAAUGUAGAUUUAGUCAUUAUAGGCCAGUUAUUUAACAUAAAGAACAAAACAAAUGGUUGGUAUCCCUUAAAUGAUAAGUAAUUAGCUGAAUGAGCAUUGCUAAGACCAGAGACCUAAAUUUAGGGGUGUGUAUAUAUUUCCUAAGAGAAUUAGCACGUGCCCAUCGUGAUGCUUGUUUACUUGUGUCAACUUCAGUUUGCACAGAGUAAAAUACAUUGAAAGCUUGAAUUCCAAUAACCUGAAAGUGAAUUUUGUACAUAGUUGAGAUUUAACUCCAGGGAGAAUACCUUUGUUUCAGGCGUUAAGACUUCAGUGCAAGAAUAGAUGAAAAUUGGAAGCCUCUUGUAAGGUAGUUUAGGUAAUGUGUCACGUAGUUUGAUCCCUCAACACAAAAGUGCAUGGGUCAGGUUCACCAAAGACUUAAAACUAGAACUUUCAGAGUAAUUAUAAAAUUACUGGGGUACAGUUUUUAACUGUACUUGGGUGAUACAAUUGAUAAUUUGAUAGUUCACAAAAUAGACCUGGACUUUUCAGUCUAGGUAUGUUAGAAUCUUUGAGCAGGCUACUGAACAGACAGGUGUUCUGAGGAAUAUUUUGAUUUUGAUAUAUACUCAGAAUAUAAUCACUACCCUGAGUUGUCAGAAAUGGCACUGAAUGUCAGAGCAACACCUUAGAGUUUGUAGGGAUGUAAGAGACUAAAUAGUUCCAUAGGCAUUCACUCCUUGUUUUAUAGUUAGCUUAUUUUGCUUGCCAUUGCAAUUUUUGGCCAACUUCAAGUUCACGUUUGUUUCUGAAUCUGCAGACUUGCUCACUAUCCAACCGUAGGUAGUAGCUUUCCCCUUACUUGGCUCUCAUACACCACACAUAUAAUGUCUUUGUGUACUAUACAUAGAUUUCCUCAGGGGUUGUUUCAGAACAAGUAAGAGGGUGAAAGAUAUAGGCUACAUUUUCCAGGUAUUGGUCCUCCAGGAUUUGAAUUCCCCUCUAAUAAAUCUUUCAAAUCUAGCCUCAGAACACUUGAAGCAAAACUCCAGAGCUAUAACAAAGCAGCUACUUUAUCUAGGAAUUAUGCUUGGAAUUCUGUCUCAUUACAUUCAUUACUGCAACUCCUAAGGAAUCUCAGUCUAAGCAACACUUGAUUGAGAAUUCCAUGCUUAUUUUUUUAACCCUCAUAAGAAUUUUGUAAUCUCUAAAAUUGUAAGUUAUGCAGUUUCUGCCAUGUCCGAAAUAUUACUAGUGUGUAGAAUGCUUAAACCUUCAAUAGGGCCCAUGAAUGAAUUUCCUAGAAUGAGAGGUUGAGGGGAAGGAAGCAGCAAAAGUGAGAUCAGAUUCUAAUAUAUGUUUGACUUUAUGCAUGUGUAAUCAUCUUGGGGUACAUUUGACAACUUGAAGUAAUUAGUGUUAGCAGGGUUCUUGGCUUAAGUAAGUAGAAUUUAGAGUAAACAUUAAUCCUUCAGCAAAGAUAAAAGAAAGUUUCCUAAAGGUAGAAGGGUCAACAAAGAAAAUCUGAUAAUUCAAAUUAUGUGGGAAUGUAAUGGUGCUCUCUUGGGAAUACUUACCUCCUAAAUCUCACAACGCAACUGACAACAGUGAGGGCACCAAAAAUUCUGUACUUGUACAAAGAAAGGUGAAAAUACUGUACUGAGAGGCAGCAGUUAGUUUAGUAAAGUUAGUAGUUCUCAACAUGAUUAUGUUACCUGAAGUACAGGCUUUUGUUUUUUAAAUCAUGGUUCUUUGUGCUACAGUUUCAAGCUCCUGUUUUUGGUUCAGCAAGCAGUUUAACAUUUCCAUUUCCCUUGUCUAGUACAUUUACAUUUAGAAUAUCAAUACUAACCAAAACUCUUAAUUUUCCAAUAGGUUUCACUCCAAGCAGAAUUUACACAGAAGCUCUACUCUGGUGUAUGAUUAAAUUUUGAGCUGAUUGUUUGGCAAAGUUAUAUAGUAAACCAGUAACACUUGAGACAGGCUGUGUAUGUAUUAUGAGAGAAGAAUGAUAAAGGAUUGAGGAGUCCUGCUGUCACCUCAUAUUACAGAAAAUAAAGACAAGUUGAUAGGCUAGUUGAGGUCUCAGAACUAUACAUAUAUACACAUAUGCCUUAGCACAGUAGGUCUAGUCUGUGGGCUCCAAGAAUAUGUAAAUCCCAUUGUAAAUAUUCUGAGUUGCCACCUGAUAAUUGCCUAAUGGGUCGAGGAGUUUUAAGCAACUACUUAAGGAGUCUUAUUAGAGUUUAAUGUCAGGUUCUGGGUUCAAGUAUCAGUAGCCCCUGUUGGGGCAGUUUUAGUAUUCGACCCCCCAAAUUGUAAGCUCAGCUAGGCUUUUCCAUCGUGGUCAGUGGUGGCUGUCAUGAUUAUCUGGUUCACAUCAGCUGAAAGACCUUCCUUCAAAACAAAAUUUCAUCUCCACUCUGCUUGAACAAAUGUAGAUCUCUGGCCUACCAGAAGUAAGCCUGUGGGGGAGAGGUAAGAUCAAGGUUAGGCCUAAGUCUUAUGAUAAUGACUGACAGGUCCCCUUCCCCUCCCUGAAGCACACAGGAUACACAGGCAGAGUGAUGGUGCAGUUAGUAAGAGAUAAGAAUGCCCUAAGGGUUGAGGAAUAGCACCUUGGUUGACUAGACAGCAAAAAUGGAUUCUCAGAAUUGCAGGAGGGGGUUGAGAAGGUAGCCGCUGAGGCAAGCAACCAGGCUGCAGUGGUGUUCACCUGCUGUUGCUAGGUUCUCAGCUGUAAUGCUACUUCCUCAAAAAGGCCCUCCCUGAGUACCAGCCUUAUCUGAGUACCUGCCAUUUUUAUUCGGUGCACCAAGUAAAACUUUAAGUUGUAUCAAUGAUGUUUGUAUCAUUUUAUUGCCUAUUAUAUUUCAUAGUCCCACUGUAGUUAAUUACCAUAAAUUUAAACCUUAAGUUAAUGAAUUAAGGAAAGUUUUUUCAACAGUCCGUGGAAGGGGACAAAACACAAAGUGACUGGCUUAAGAAUUUUCCUCUGCAGUGCCAGUUUAAGAGGCUUGAAAAAAUGAUUGUAAGUCAAAUAUCCAGUUGCCAUUCUCUGAGUAAAAUGAUUUGCUCAGAACAGAAGGGGUGAUAGUAUACUUCUCACAUUCUCAUUCCAGGAAAAAUGUCUAGAAGUACGUAAGUCAACUAGCAGGUUAAGUCCAGAGAGGGGAAACUGAAAUAAGUGCAACCAGUAGGACGUGUGAACACUGAAGUGAAAUGAAGAUAGCAUCUGCAGAGUCUAAGGCAGUGUUUUUUUAAGUCUCAAAAUUAGCUUAAUCUGGGGCAUGAUCCUUUAGAGAAUAAAUAACACUAUUUUUUGGUUAAGAGAACAAAUGGUUUGAAUGUUUAUUUCAAAGGAAUUAGAAUUAUAUAUAUAUACUAGGACAUCAGUAGAAAAAAGGUACAUCACAAAACAGGAAAUAAGCAUUUUAAUUGAAGUUAAGCACAGAAGUUGUGUUUAUAAAUUAGUUUCUGUUUUAACUCAAGACAGUUAUACUCAAGUUCCAUAACAUACAGACAUUUUUGGCCAUUAGGAAUGUAGAGAUGAUCAAAGUCCUUGACUUUACCUUGAAAUUCUCUGGCCCAAUAGCAAGAUCAUCUGCUAAAUGCCAGAUCUUUGAAAAUGAGGAAGACAUAGUGUAUUCUUUCAAAUGAUUAAGCCUUCAUUAAGUACUUGUUGAAUGAAUUGAAGGUUUCUUUUAAAUAUGACUUGGCCAUUAAUAGAUUCUUUGAUGUAUUGCAGUAGGUAUAUAUCUGUUAACAUUUCUCACCUGAUGCCGAGUUUUGUCCAGACAGCUUGCCUUGGUGAAAAGAACAGAAAAAGAUUGUGUGUGGCAGGGACUGAGGGGCAGUGAAUAUAAAGAAAAUGCUAUCUCUGCACAUUUGUAUGUGAUGUGUAAGGAUGACAGGAGUGGCUGAAUGGGGCAGGACAGUGAUCUGGUUAAUUCUGAGAACUAGUGUGGUAAGAGAAUUCAGAACAAAUCUCAAGAAUAACAAACCUGCCUUUUAAGUAAGGAAGUGGGAAACCAGACCAUGACUUCAGGACUGCCAUUCUCCCAGAUCACUAGUCUUAGUGAUGGCAAACCUUUUCGAGCUUUCCAUGAUUGAUAAUAGUGGGCUACAGCAUGUUUGCCAUCAGUUCGCCACUACUGCCCUAUUCUAAAGGCUAUGUGUCCUCAAGGAUGUUGCAGGUAAUUUUGCGGUAAGCCUUACUAGAAUUAGUGAAAUGAAGUGGUAACUGACACUAAAUGACAGCUUACAAAGUACUACUGGAGCUCAGACAGGGAAAUGACUAAUGCAGUAAGUACUGUGUGCAUUUGGUACCCAUUACAACACACAAGUAAUUAAAAGGGACUUGUUCUCUAAAAGCGUAUGUAAAUAUAGUAAUUAGGUCUCUCUUUUUUUGAUAGUUUGGUUGUAGUGUGUUGAUCCUUGCUUAAUAUGAGGAUUCUAAUAUUGAACGUUUUUUUCCCAGCCAAAAAUGAAAUGUGCAAGUUACUACCAAGUGAAGCCAUUCAUAGUUGAUAUGACACUGCUAUGCCUGUGGUUCCCAUGUUGUCUACUGUCUUGAAACCAUCUUAGUCUGAGAAGAAUUUUUCCUUGCCCAAGGAACAAAGUAAAGUUGUACAUAGCAAUACAUUGAGACAUUAAAAGAUUUUACCCAGUUCUCUUUACUUCCUGUGUACUUUUUUUCUGUCAGCUCUUACUCAUUCUCAUAAGUGGAAAAGAAGGAAGUUUUGCAAAAUAUCCCUUGCAGGGACGUGAAAAGAUGUGCAUAAACAAUAUAGUAAACUUAAAAGAUUGCAUAAGGAUUUGGGUAUCCCUGGAAAUCAUGGCUUGAAAAGAUCUUCAUCAUGAACAGGCAACAACUUAGUAGUGAAUUUGUAACUUGAUGUCCAAAGAUGAAAAAUGUUCCUUUGUGUGCAGAAAUUCAUUGUAGCUUCAUGUGUACAAGAUGUUGCAGAUGGAGGACAAUAGGAAAGGGCUGGAAGAGUUUGGUUUAGAAUCAUUUUGUAUAGCAAGUGGGUUAGAAAAGAGAAAGUGGGGGCUGGGAAUUAGCUCUAUUGGCUGCCCAUGAUGGAGAUUCUGAGUUCAAUUCCAAGCUGUGGGCCCCCCCCCCCAAAAAAAAGUAGUUAUGGGGGGAAGGAGUGAAAUGGAAUUAAGAGACUGUCUUAGUGGCUGAGCUCACAAGAGACAAAAGACCAUGGCUGAUUCCCAGUAAUAGGGUGUGAGUAUUGCUAAAAAGCAGUUGUGCCUCCUCCUCUGGACCUUGACAGGUACCUUAGUCCUGACUUGGUGAAAACAAAUAACAGAUUAUUCUGCUCUGCUGCAAAACUUAGAAGAAUGGGGUUUUUUUUAUAAUCUUAAAAGUCAUUUUGAAUGGCUUGAGUAAUUUUGUUACAGAAGCUGUCAUGUAGGACUUGUGUUAACUAAAGUUAAUAUGGUAGAUUACAAUUAUUUUCAAUCACUGUAUAUUAAUUUUAUCUUAACAUUUCAUCUUAACAUUAACAUCUCUAUGAGAUAUUCCCAAGUUGGGGAAGCAGGCGGGAAAGUAUACAGGUGAUCAAAUUGACAGGGGUAAAUGAGGCAGCCAAUGUGAACAUUUAGGAGGUCUGGCCAGGUGGGAUGAUGCAUGCUUGUAAUCCCAGUUAUCAGAAGGCUAAGGCAGGAGGAUUGCCCUGAGUUCAAGGCCAAGCUGAACUGCACAGUGAGACCCUGUGUCAAAAAGUCAAAAUCUAGGAAAUCUGGUUCAGGAACCAGUUUUCUUAACUGCUAUGCUGCCUUCUAGGCCAGCUUUCAUUAUAUGUUAGCAUAGUGGGAAUGUAAAAUGAUGUUACCACUGAGCAGAAAUAUUUGGGGGGUUUUAAUAUCUGAAUUUACCUAAAAAUACAAAUUCCAUUUGAUCCAGCUAUACACUACUUAUGAAUAUCUUCCCAAAAGAUUUAACCAUAAUUCUAAAUGAAAUCAGACACACAAGACUUAAAUAUCACAAUUUCUCAUAUGAGAAAUAGUAUAAGGAGCAAAGUAAAGAUAGUAGGGAAAACUAAGUUUAUACCUUUUCUCAGAUUUUGUGGGAUAAAUCACAUUUCUGUUCCAAUAAAAAGUUUAUAAAAAUUUCAGAAAGCUUUACCCUAAUAUACUCUCACCAGAAAGAGAGGUAUGCAAAGAAGUCACAACGUUAGUUCUUGAGUGGUAUUUUCAGUGAUUUUUUUCCUGUAAUUUCACUUUUAGUUUCAAACAAGUUCUUUUAAAAUAAAAAUUCUGUGUUGGUUUUUUACGUUAAAAUCAGUCAUCUAGUCACUUUUUAGAGAAGAUGUAUUUCAAAAUGAUUGAGAAAAUGUCAGUAAAUCAACAUUCUAUUAGAUGUAAUUAAAUAAUUAUUUUCAGAGACAGCCUAGAGAACUGGGAUAUUGAGUAAUUACAUAUUGCUAAGGAUGCAGCAAUGCCAGUAUUGUCAGGAAGCCUAAAAAUGGAGUGAUGAGCUUCCUAACGCAUUUCAUUGUGUUAGCAUUAGGAUCUAAGAAAUACUUUUAAAAUGUAAUGAUACAACCUCACCUAUGACAGAUGUGAAACAAUACAUAAUGCAAAUAUCUCAACAAAUUAGCAAAAUAGGUGUCAUCACUGUGACUUAGCUCUGCUUUGGUAAAUUAAUAGACUCGAGUGAAAUAGAACACAAAUUUUUGGCAUAACUUGGAAAAGUGUAGGCAAAAUUAUCAAUAUUAGCAUUCAAAAUAGUUGUCUGCAAUAAUUUUUAGAAAAAUUACUAGUAAGACUUCUGUGAGGUAAUUUAACACAUUAUGAAAUGAUUUUCCUAGAUACAAACAAGUUGCAAAACAAAAAUUGUAAAAUAGUUAACAGUGAAAAACAUCUAGAAAAAAAUUCAGAGACACUGAGAGUGAAAGGUAGAAAUGCUUUCCAAAAUUGCCUAGGAAUUGAAAGAUGGAGGGUCAUUUUUUCCCAUGCCUUUGUGAGGUUAACCACCCCAAACUGGGUAGCAUAUGUAUAUUGAUACCUAUAGGCUUCCUUAGCCAAGGAUACAAUACAGAUACAACAAGGGAUGUUGUGUGGUGGUUUAUAUUGCUGGUCAGUGCAUAGAAUCUGUUGCCUCAGAAGUGACAAGGUGGGAUCAAGGAGAUUUAAAAUGGUGCACAAAAGGUGUCAAAUGGAACGCAGUUCCUGCACUUAUGCUUGUGUCUUGCAUUAAUCCCAGCUUAAUCACAAAAGUGCCCAUCAAAGCUGUUGCCGGGCAGAAUCAUGACACUGUAAAAAAGAAUUAGCUGCUCCUCCAGCUUUUGUCAUUGAUACUCAGCCUUUCCUUCACCAUCCAUUCCUUCUAGAUUCCUAGAUCUCUGCCUUACUAGCAUUUCUGUUUCAGUUACUGAUAGGUGGUACUACCUGGACACUGAAACUUGAGACGGGCUCCUUGCCAUAUACUUUCUGGCCUUCCGCUACUCCAGUUUUUCAUUAAGUGAGCAUAAAAAGUAUAGAUGUAGCCUGGUGAGUCCCCUGAGCUCAGUAAAAACUGCCUCUUUUUAUACCUGUUACUCUAGCUCAUGGUUAUCAGGACAAGUCGUAGUCACCAUAACAGUACCACCUCCCACUCUUAAUUGUUCCUUCAUGAAGGAGGCCAAAAUUAUUAGGUGGUAAUUGUAGCAUCAAAUUAAUUUCAUCAAGUUCUUUGCAUACUCAUAAUGAAACCAUUUCUUGUCCCCUACUUACAGACCAGGACCUCAGAUACGGAAGACCUAAAGUUUCAGAGCUAGGGAGUACAGAUUCUGCAAAUAGAUCGCAAGUAAUGGUUUGAGAGAUUCUCGGACUGAGCAGUUACUGGAUCCUCCAGCUCUUGAGCACACAGAUGGCCAUCAUGGGCUUUCACUUCUGAUCCUGUAAGCCUACCUUAUAAAGCCCCUUGUGUUUAAAAAAAAUUAUCUAUCUAUACAUAUACUAUAUAUUUUACCAAUUGCAUUUCUCUAGAAAACUAAUAUAGUAUCUUAUGUUGGCCAUUGAUUUUAGUGCAUACUUCAUGGUGGCUUAUCUUGACCCAGGAGGGAUUGUCCCUGGCCUGAUGCUUGUUUGAGCCUUAAUGAGGCUAUUGUAUGUGGUGUUAGCAUUUUUGUAAUUAUGAUGAUCCUGGAUGAAGUGUAUUACUUAAGACUAUUGGACAGUGUGUUAGUGGCCUCAACUUUGCCAUAAAAUAAAUCUCUUGGUUUGAGGAAUAUGGGGGAUAUUAUACGUAACUGGAGAUUCUGUAAGUGUUCAGAUAGUGAUGGUGAUAGAAAAACUGAGCAAAGAAAACAAACUCACUUCUGGAAAGGGUCUAUUUAAGGAAGGACAAAUUGUUGUUUCCUUCUUAGUUUAAAUCUUGAGUCAAGAUAAUUAGUCUCCCAAGUGUUUGGCUAGGCUCUCAGUGCGUGACAGGUGAUUGCUACACCUGACUUAGAGAGCCUGCCUACUUCUAGACUAGUGUGGGGAGGACAAACUUCUCUGUUUAAAUCAUUGUUGUUAUAACAGUUUAAACUUACUUGAACUAAUGCAGACAUUAUCAGGAAAUGGGGUGUUUCUGCAAUACAAAAUUGAAGUAGAUUAUUGAUUGGUAAUUGAAGGGUAAAGAAAGAUAGGGCAGGCUGUCGAGUAAUUACCAGGUAAAAGUGAGCCACUGCAAGCAAAAGGAAAGGGAAUCCAGUUCUGCUGAUGACUCAUCCUAAAAUAAACAUCUGGAUUGGCUGAUUUGACAAUAUUUCAGGAACUCACAGAUUGGAAAACCAACUCUGUACCUUAAAACAGGAAAUACCUUUGUCCCUUAGCAUUUCUCAAAAGCCUCUAGUAUAUGUUCUCAACUAGCAAGUAGGAAUCCGCUCUACAAGGUAGUUUAAGGGCAUUCCACUCCUUCCUGAACCUAAUUAUUCUAGGUGGGCUCAAGGUAGUCAUCACUAAAUUGAGAGGUGAAUAUUGUCUUAGUUACUUUCCCGGUGCUAACACACAAUACCUGACACAACUCAAAGGAGAAGAGGUUUACUUUUUGCUCAUACUUUGUAGAGGUUACAGUCCGCAGUUGGUGACUCCUGGCUCCAAGGCAGGACAGCAUGGCAGAGGACAAGUGGCUCAUGGCAUGGCAGCAGGAAGCAGAACCGAGAGAAGAGAUAGAAAUACACUUUUCCAGACCAUGCCCCUAGUGACCCACUGCCUCCCACCAGGCCUUCCUCUCACCACAUUUAGCUAUAAACUCACCAGUUGAUAUGUCCACUGAGGCGUAUCAGGCCCCCAUGAUUCAAACACUUACCCAAAAUCCCAUUAAUGAGUCUUUGGGUGACAGCUAUAAAUCAUAACCAGAAAAUAAAGUAGAAUCUGAAAUUGUUUUUGUUUCUGAGAUAGAUAUGCAGUUCAGGCUACCCUUGUAACCCAAGCUGUCUUCAGGCUCCCAGUACAGUGAUCCUCCUGUCUCAGCCUUCGGAGUGUUAGGAUUACAGGGAUUUGCCAUCAUGACUUAAGUCAGAAGUUUUAAGAACAGUAACAUGACUUGAUUUUUGAGAAUGCCUUAACAUGGAAGUGAAUGUAAGUCUAAGAGACAACUCAAAUUUGAGAGUAGAUUAUUUUCCAAAGAAAUCCCAGUCAUGGUUCCUGUCUCCAACAAUUCCCAGUUGUAAACUACCAGCAGAAAAAAUACUGUUGAAGCCACAUAAUCACCAAGAGGGUGACUCAACAGCUCAUUUCAGAGGUGUGCCAAUUCACUUACACUUUUCAGCUGUAAAUUCUUCUUUGCCUAUAUGUUGGCCUUCAAAUAGUUUCCACCUAACAGGAGUUGGUAUGGUAUUGAGCUUUAUCAAUAAAAGUUUCUGGAGAGUUUGCAUGAGGAACGAGUAUUCUUUCCUGAUUUGGUGUGUUCAUCUGGUAGGCCCUUGUGACGUGGAUAACUUCUCCAUUGCCCAGAUCCUUCAGGGUACGUCUGUGAGCGGCACCCAGAGACAACAGCUUCAUCACGUAGCUGCAUAGUGAUGUGUCUAUAGCAAAAUGCCACCCAAUGAACAGUUACUAACACUUGAGCAGUGAUGACAAACCCAUGGCAUGCAUGCUGUAGCUGGCUGUUGUCAUUGAAAGCGCUAAAAAGCUCACCAUCACUGCUCUAAAGAGUGGAUUUCUGGUAAAUUCUGGUGGCUCAACCCUAUGGUGACUAACCUUGUCAUGUGUGAGAGAGAGUUCUGUGGGGCUUGUCCUGGAGGAUCUAUUUCAGGCCUAGAGAUAGUGGCUGCUGUUUGUAUCUAAUAUUCCUAUAUUCCUUUGAGUUCUCUGUAGUUCUAACUGGCAAGUCCUGCUUUUAGUAAUUAUUUGUAAUGAGCUUUCAGUGUUCAAAUCAGUGUGUGUGUGUGUGUGUGUGUGUGUGUGUUUCCUGAUCGGGGCCAAAUGGAUAUGACACCACAGUAGAAAAUAGAUAAAGAGAAUGAAUUUUCCGAAUGAUAAAUCCAGUGACCAUGGGGUGGCAGUAGUCAAAGGAAUUCCUGCAGGAAAUCAGAACCAGAGUUUAAGCAAGGAAUUUACUAAAUUUCCUGGGAAGGAAGCCUUCUGAAUUUCUGCCAAACUGAAAAUCAUAGUGAUUGCUAUUUCCCAUUUAUUUUCAUUAUGGUAGUUUCCCUUAUGGUGUUGUAUGCUACUCCACCAUUUUGCAUUGAGAUGUAUUGGAUUGCAAUUAACUUGUAUAAUAAUAAUAGUUGUUGGUCCUUGAGACCUUUGUAUCAAGAGGCAAAAAAUACUCAGAGAUCUCAGAUUUUGAACUGGGAACAAGGAUGAUCUUUAGUUGCAUUCCUUGGGGAAGACCUGUGUUUUUCAUAUGGGAGGAUUGUUGCAUUUGGAUACUUGGUCUAGAGGCUAAAGGUAGGUAGUAACUUCUAAUUGUUCCCCAAUAUAUGUUCCCUAUUUUCAUUUCAGUAAUAAAACACCUUGAAUUUUUGCUGAGUGUCUGCCCAACUGGAGACUACAUUUUUCCGAUUUCCUUGAUGGAUAGUAAGGCUGAAUUCUUGACAAUAGGAUGUGACAAGUGAUACAUGUUACUUCCCAGUCUUGUUUUAACACAGAUGUAUGCUGCUUGUGAACCAGUUUUGAACAUGUAGUCAAGGAGAGACUUUGGGAGUGGUUGAAGAACCCACAUAGAAAACCUGGGUUGCUGAAUGUGCCCUUGUGAAGCAGAGACUCCUGGAUUGCUUGCUUGCUUCUCGAAUGAUGUGUAAAAGAAUAAUAAAACUCCUCACUUUUUGUGUGUGUGUGGUUUAUUUUUUUUUGAGCUAGUCUGUUCCUGGUCUUUUUGUUACAUCAGCUAACCUGUUCUCUAACACUGUUGUUGUCACAUUUGUUUCAAAUGAUACGUAUUUCUUUCAAAUCUGACAUGAACUUUUACAGUGUUUCUUUCCCUUGAGCCUUCUUCUACCAUUUUUUUUUCCAGGCAGAAGUGUUUGCAGAAAUCUUUGUCUUCAUCUCAUUACUUUUUACUGUCACUGCCAGCAGGCAGAGCCCAUAACAUAAAUGUAAAAUUGUGUUCAGUAUAUGUUCCC